Molecule: transfer RNA, 69 nt
Filed under: Lagopus lagopus (willow ptarmigan)
Lineage: Eukaryota; Metazoa; Chordata; Aves; Galliformes; Phasianidae
Also listed under: 2 other names
Description: tRNA-Ala
Rfam family: tRNA
About the family: Transfer RNA (tRNA) molecules are approximately 80 nucleotides in length.
Source: RNAcentral
AAGGCUUUAGCUUAAUUAAAGCAUCUGAUUUGCACUCAGAGGAUACAGGUUAAUGUCCUGUUAGUCUUA